GACAGAGGGUGCAACCGUUGUUCGGAAUUACUGGGCGUAAAGCGAGUGUAGGCGGUUUGGUAAGUCGGAUGUGAAAGCCCCGGGCUCAACCCGGGAAGUGCACUCGAUACUGCCAAGCUAGAGUAUCGGAGAGGUUGGUGGAAUUCUCGGUGUAGAGGUGAAAUUCGUAGAUAUCGAGAGGAACACCGGUGGCGAAGGCGGUUCUCUGGGCCUUACCUGACGCUGAGGAGCGAAAGCAUGGGGAGCAAACAGG
Molecule: ribosomal RNA, 253 nt
Filed under: uncultured bacterium
Lineage: Bacteria
Description: partial 16S ribosomal RNA
Rfam family: Bacterial small subunit ribosomal RNA
Source: RNAcentral